UAAACUCCUCCACGUCUUUCUCAAAUGACCCCUCAGGCGCUUCUUUCUGAACAGGUUCUUCCUCAACCACAGCUUGCUUCCCCUUUGCUUUGGCGAGAGCUUCAGCAUUAUUGUCCCUCAAAGGCUGCGGUGCGAACAGACGACCGCUUCUGGUAAAACCUCCUGGACCCCCUACAUUAUCCACAGCCGGACCAACAGUUGCAGGAACUCUAUUCGGUAAACCAAUUGUCACUGGAG
RNAcentral lists this long non-coding RNA (237 nucleotides) under Lathyrus oleraceus (garden pea). Its description in RNAcentral is "Pisum sativum (pea) long non-coding RNA (PSAT_LNC012928)". The record is from RNAcentral. Lineage: Eukaryota; Viridiplantae; Streptophyta; Magnoliopsida; Fabales; Fabaceae.